This is a non-coding RNA of Peromyscus maniculatus bairdii (prairie deer mouse), 1289 nucleotides long. NCBI's taxonomy places the organism in Eukaryota, Metazoa, Chordata, Mammalia, Rodentia, Cricetidae. The record is from RefSeq and is a predicted model, not a curated record.
GACACGGGCCACAGAUCCUCUUCACUAGGAGGCAGUUGAUUCUGGAGGAGCAGAGCUGGCCCCACAUAAAGGCGUCAAACUGAAAAGCACCACCGUGAAAACAGUAGUGAAAGGCCAGGUGUCUCCCUUUACAAGAGGGGUACCACACUUGCCGCAUUUUUGUAACUGGGGUGAGUUGGACUCUUUCUUGAAGAAGGAAGACAUUGUGGAAAUGCACCCUCAGCCCUGAGAUGUCACCAGCCAUUUCUACUGGCCAGUCUUCCAGCAGCUUAUCAAUUUUACCUCCUCCCAAUAGAAGAGACAAGCUCCCAUCUACCUGGAAGGCCAAUCCGUACUCCGUGUGCCUCCAGUGACUGGAGUAACACAGCACAAAAGUCACUCCAGUCUGAAGACCUAUUCAGUCUCAACUCAAAGGACUGUCUCAGGGAGGACCAUGCUCCCAGGAUUCCAUUGCUUCCUACAAUAUCUGUUUUCAGUGGCUAGUUCCUAUUUUUCUCCAAAGCCAGCCACCUGCUACCCAGUUAUGAAUAGCUCAACAAGUCACCCAUGAGAAUUCCUUUCUGACCAUAUUUAAGCACAAUGAACUGAAAGCAAGUUAAGGCAUGCCUGGAUUCCAUUGUGAGUGGACUUGGAUGCUGGCCUUUGAAAGAUUUCCAGAGGCAAAUGGGCGCGGUUCUUGAUGACGCUUUUCCAGGAAGUCUUCACGUCUAGGUGACAACAGUAACAGUAGAAGGCCAGAUUCCAAGAGAGCAGUGGGAUGUUGGCAUUCUGUUGCCUCACUCAGCCAUCAUCAGAGAUGCUUCCUCCUGCAGGAGAUGGGAAUGAAUACAGAGACCCACAACUGGGAAAUGUGCAGAAAGCAAGAGACCUUGGAUGGGAUGUCUCCAUCAAAACCCUCCCCUGAGGGCUCAGGAGGAAGGGGAGACAGAAAGGCUGUAAGAGUCAGUGGGGAUAGUCAUAUCUUCCAGGCAGAACAGGACUGGCGUACAUACAAACUCACAUAGACUGUGCACAGCAGCAUGCACAAGGCCUACACAUAUCCGUGCUAGAUAGGGUCCCGGUGCUCAGAGGGGAAGUAAACACAAGCCCCAUCCCUAACCAAGACACCAUCUACAAUUGACAACCACUCCAAAAGGAAAAAUGAGUUGUCUCCAUUGGAGUCUCAAUGGAUAUACAAGCCACACUUUAGGGCAGUUCCACACCCAGAAGUAGAUGGGCAACACAAAAUAAACUCAAUGAUGUUUUUGGAGAUGUUUUGUUUCAUAAUACUUUGGCCUUUUGUUAUUAAC